This is a non-coding RNA of Podarcis lilfordi (Lilford's wall lizard), 75 nucleotides long. The record is from the annotation of a GenBank genome assembly. Lineage: Eukaryota; Metazoa; Chordata; Lepidosauria; Squamata; Lacertidae.
ACAUAUAGCUUAGUUGUUAGAACAUGAGACUCUUAAUCUCAUUAAGGGUUAAGGGUUUGAGCCCCACGUUGGGUA